RNAcentral lists this ribosomal RNA (500 nucleotides) under uncultured Myrionecta. Its description in RNAcentral is "SSU rRNA". It matches the Rfam family "Eukaryotic small subunit ribosomal RNA", at positions 32 to 598 of the family's 1831-position model. The record is from RNAcentral. Lineage: Eukaryota; Ciliophora; Litostomatea; Cyclotrichida; Mesodiniidae.
UGUUCUUAGGGCUAAGCCAUGCACGUCUAGUACAAACUAAAUGAUGGUGAAACUGCAAAUGGCUCAUUACAACGGUUAUGAUGUACCCGGGAGUUCCGAUGGAUAUUUCCAGUAACACUAGAACUAAUACAUGUCCCUGCGUUUAUUAGUUUCGCACAGUCCGUCGCUGAGUCAUGGUAAACAGUUGAUCGACUCGACGUCCCGGAACAGUUUCCGCCCCAUCAGCUUCGAUGGUUGGGUAUUGGCCUACCAUUGCAACAACGGGUAACGAGGAAUUAGGGUUUGAUUUCGGAGAGGGAGCCUGAGAAACGGCUACCACAUCUACGGAUGGCAGCAGGCGCGCAAAUUACCCAAUGCAGACACUGUGAGGUAGUGACGAGAAAUAAUAAAGCGGGACUUCUGUUUCGCUAUUAUAAUGAGGAAUAACCAAAGGUCAUUCCGAUUAGCAACUGAUGGGAAAGUCUGGUGCCAGCAGCCGCGGUAAUACCAGCGUCAGUAGC